This 253-nucleotide ribosomal RNA is filed under the name uncultured bacterium. Its description in RNAcentral is "partial 16S ribosomal RNA". It matches the Rfam family "Bacterial small subunit ribosomal RNA", at positions 524 to 776 of the family's 1533-position model. The record is from RNAcentral.
UACGUAGGGUGCGAGCGUUAAUCGGAAUUACUGGGCGUAAAGCGUGCGCAGGCGGUUUUGUAAGCCAGAUGUGAAAUCCCCGGGCUUAACCUGGGAAUGGCAUUUGGGACUGCAAGGCUGGAGUGCGGCAGAGGAGACUGGAAUUCCCGGUGUAGCAGUGAAAUGCGUAGAUAUCGGGAGGAAUACCGAUGGCGAAGGCAGGUCUCUGGGCUGACACUGACGCUCAUGCACGAAAGCGCGGGGAGCAAACAGG